AGGGGGCAAGAAGGGUGCUCCGCCCCGACGGGUACCUGGCCUCCGCCUGGGCUCCGGGAGCAGGGACGUGCGCGGGGUGCAGGAAGGCCAGAGAGGACAGGGGAUAACGCGGGUCGGCAGGCAGAGGGCCCUGGCCUAAGGGAGAGGGUCCACCAGGAAACUUGGAGCGAAGAUUUGUACGCGAGUGAGGCAGACGCGAACAAGUAACAGAGACUGAGCGAGUAAACCAAACCUAGACUGCAGUGUGCCGACAGAACCCAAGGGAGAAAAGAGGACGCACCCCGAGAUGGGCAGACACGAAGCCGGAGUGGGACUCAGGCUCCCGCACGGAAAGAGCGGGACGCGCGGGUGCCCGGACGCCAGCGCUGCUCUGGGUACCCGGAACGCGCGGGGCUCCGGGAGGAGGGUGCGCGGGCCGGAUCCCUGACCGGGGCAGGAGGUCAGUCGGGGACUGCUCGCUCGAGGGGAGCUGGCACCCUCUGGGGCCCCCAGCUCUCGGGUUUGGCAGAGCUGGCGCGGCUGCGGGGGCAGGCUUGGCCGACUGUCUGCCCGGGCUUGUCUGCCAGCAGGGAGGGGGCUGGCAGCUGUAAUGGCGGGGGAGGGCCCUGCGCGGGAGGAGGGACGCCGCCUGGCAGAUCGCGAGCGGGAGCUGCGGAGGCCCAGCCAGAUGUCAGAGCCAGGGGCACCCAGGCUCACAGCAGCAGAUCUGGAUCCAGAAAGUGCUAUUUCAUGGCUCUCCAGAUUCCAUGACAGCCUCUCCCACUCUCCUGCCUGCAAACUGCACUUCUCGCACUGGGAAGGCAACUUGGCAGCUAAUUAGGGGCCAGCUUAGCGGGAGGGGGUUCUUGAAGCAGCAGGUGUCCUCAUUCACGCUUCCUGGUCAAGUCGCCCUGGACUCUUUCUGUCUGUCCCCCUCCAGGGCCUGUCUUCUCAGGUCAAUGGUCACUUCUCUGGCACUUCCUCUUGAAGCCAUUUUUGUGGUGACACUCACAUGGGAAAGUUACCCACGGACAUGCUCCAUAGGUGAGGGACAGAAGAAUCUCCAUCAUGUCCCUUCCCAUACACGUUUUCACAUGUGUCUGUUGUCAGUUUGGGAUGGCUGGUUCCAGCCCACACUUACACAAUUCUGAUUUCCUGAUUGUCCAAUAGGACAAAGAAAGGUCAAGGUUGUUAACAUAUAAUGUCUGAAGCCCAAGGCCCAUGCUGAGAAAAGAAUCUCAUAGAAUCCUCUUUUUAUGCUUGGAAUCUGGGACCACACCACCCACCUCACGAUCUGCCUUAAUAGAGGAUUUGUGGGUGUUUCUGGCAUGGGCUUGAAUUUUAAAAUCCUACUGAUUUGCAUUUUUUACAGCACCCUAGGUGGGAGGUGGUGAGGGGAGGAAGACAGAUCGGAUGCCAGGAGAAUAAAAAAGACAAACAGGAAUCUGCACUGAGCUGAGCUCCAGGCCUUGAUUUGUACCCUCUCCUGCCAAGGACUUGAGCCCCAGUCCCUGAGAGAAGGAAGGGGAGAGGCUGAAGUCACUGAGCUCCCCAUUAGCUUUCAUUUGGCCCUUUGUCUGAGCAGCUUCAGCCUUUGACUCUGUUGGAGAGGAAGCCACAUGCCUGGCCUGGGGCCCAGAAUGACACUCAGAUGGGAGAACUCUGCACCCCCCACCCCUGGUGCUCCACCCCCUCCCCAGUGCCUGUCUGUCCAGAGUGAGACAGAGCCGAGUGACAGGCAGAGCUAUUAGAGUCUUGUUCACUCCCUGACACUUCAGCACAACGCUUAGGUAGCUGAGCCAAAUCUCAGGGCCUCAGUUUUCCCAAUGGGAGUGAAAGAGAAAGUAGAGCUGUUAGCCCAGACUCAGCGCUGGCUCCUCUAAGGACUCUGGAGACUGAAUCCAAAGCAGCUUGGUCGUGGUGAGAUAACAAGGUGUUGGUCUGUUUAUACCCCAAGUCUGCAGUAAGGUGGGAAAGGCAUACAGCCAGUCUGUGUCAUGACUUUGUGGGGGUAGAGGGUGUGUGUGUGUGUGUGUGUGUGUGUGUGUGUUCAUCCCAGGCAGAAUCUUCCCUGCCACCCAAGAGGACUGUAUGUUGCCUGGCUUUGCCCUACAAUAUACAUUCAUAGUACAUGCCCAGAA
Molecule: long non-coding RNA, 2120 nt
Organism: Manis pentadactyla (Chinese pangolin)
Lineage: Eukaryota; Metazoa; Chordata; Mammalia; Pholidota; Manidae
Exons: 2
Source: RefSeq, a predicted model, not a curated record